UUCAAAAGAAAAUGAUUAGUUUGGGUGAGAUAGAGAGCAUAUAGCCCAUUUACAGAGUAAGAGGCCUAACAUGAGACUCCAUUUCCAUCUCUGCACUACUGCAUAUAAUCUCUCCAGGGUUAUGACUGUUGAAAUCUUUUAUUUUCUCAGCCUCUCAUCUUUUGAUGGACAAGAGCCAGCCAAACACAACAACAACAACAGCCAAAAAAGAAAGCUCCUUACAGAUUUCUAACGAGUCUCCGCCAGGCCACCCCCCAGCAGAUCAUUCUAAGCUCUCCAGCUAGGGCAAGAAGCACUCGAACACCUUCUUGAGUCAAUAAUGCAUAAUUGGUGAACCUGUCAGGUUUUUCUUUUUUAAACAAUUACAAUUUUUUGGAAAGGAAGAAAAAGUAGGCCUGGAACUCCAGAGCAUAAGUGCCUAUGGCCACCAGAUGAGAAGCCCGACAGCUAUACAGUAGUAACAUGAAUGAUGUAAUAAAGUUAAAUUGGAAAUGCUUUUUAUUUUAAAAAGUAUAAUUACUAUAAUAAAAAAUAUUUAAAUAUAAAGAAUAAAAUAUUUUAUAAAUUCAA
Molecule: long non-coding RNA, 570 nt
Organism: Ricinus communis (castor bean)
Lineage: Eukaryota; Viridiplantae; Streptophyta; Magnoliopsida; Malpighiales; Euphorbiaceae
Exons: 2
Source: RefSeq, a predicted model, not a curated record